AUUUUGUUUUCUAGACUCGUGAAACGCUGAUGUCUAUUCCACAUUUUGGAUCGUUACAUCCCCAAUGAAUAUGUUGAAUUAUAGCCGUCCUGUCCUUUCCUUACCAAUCUAAAAUCAUGUGAAUUUUGAAAUACGUAUACAGAACAUGUCCGCGUCGAUGGAGUACUCACAAUACCAUCCAAGAAUAGUUAAAAAAAUACAUUAUCACUCCAUCGGAUUCAUACUUUUGUGAAAUUCUUACCUAGACUUGAACCAUAUGUGACAUGCAAUUGCCAUUAAGUGAUGACAAAUGGGAAUAAAUUGUGAUUAUGUUUUCAUGGAUGUAAAAAGAAAUAAAUAAAUAGAAAAUUGA
Long non-coding RNA from Saccostrea echinata, 352 nucleotides. RefSeq lists it as uncharacterized. The record is from RefSeq and is a predicted model, not a curated record. The transcript is spliced from 2 exons. NCBI's taxonomy places the organism in Eukaryota, Metazoa, Mollusca, Bivalvia, Ostreida, Ostreidae.